RNAcentral lists this long non-coding RNA (4632 nucleotides) under Nicotiana tabacum (common tobacco). Its description in RNAcentral is "long non-coding RNA (NTAB_LNC013358)". Lineage: Eukaryota; Viridiplantae; Streptophyta; Magnoliopsida; Solanales; Solanaceae. The record is from RNAcentral.
AAAGAUUCACCAAAUCUUGAGUGGAGUGGAUCUUCUUUCAUUUGAUAAAGACGAAUGAUAACAUAUACAAGAACCUUAAGACCCUUUUUAGAUCUGAUGAAGGUCUGGGAUCACAGAUCCUCUAAUCUCUUUAAAGAGGUAUGUUUACAUAUUUUUUAGAGAGAGGGAGAUGGAGCCCGAGCACCCCUUUUGGAAGUCCUCUCUUCCUAUUUAUAAGGGGUAUCCUUAAAAAAUCUUAAAAAGUACAAUUAGAGGGAAUAUUCAGUAGAAUAUUUCCUUUGAGGAUUCCAAAGCAAACUAGCUAUUUCAUCACUGUCCGACCUCGAUCUUAUUGAUGACUGUCCGAUCUCGGCUAUUGGUAACUGUACGACCUCAGCUAUUGAUGACUGUCCGACAUCGGCCUGUACGACCUCGGCUAUUGCUGACUGUCCGACCUCGGCUAUUGAUGAUUGUCCGACCUCGGCUAUUGAUGACUGUCCGACCUCGGCUUGUCCGACCACGACCUUAUAUCUCAGCGUGCCAAAUUUCUCUGAUCUAAUUUUGACCUAUACUGUUAGUCCCUCCGCUUAUUGAGGUCUUCUCGUGGUCGAGCUUGAUGAGCGGACUUCAUUAAUCGUAGUUCGAGAAAGUCAGAUGGGGAGGUUGACUAGUGUGGAUCGCGGCUGAGGGUGCCGAUCUUUAUGUCAAAGUGGUAUCCCCACGAGCUGAACUUUAGCAGAGUUCGAUCAGGGUCAAUGACUCGAGUGAUAAGUCGAUCGAGAAGACAGUAGAGUUGGGGAAGGCCGUCGAGGCAGGGAUGGCGGCAUCGGAGGAGGUCAUUCGUGUCCUCGGAUCUGGACGGGCGAGUAGGCUGAAUCUAAAUUCGGGCAAGGUUGCCGAAUGUGAAUUCGGAUGAGGCCGAGCGUUGAUUCGGACGAGGCCGAAGGUUGAUUCGGACGAGGCCGAAGGUUGAUUCGGUCGAGGCCGAAGGUUGAUUCGGUCGAGGCCGAAGGUUGAUUCAUCGAGGCCGAAGGUUGAUUCAUCGAGGCCGAAGGUUAAUUCGGACGAGGCUGAGUGUUGAUUCGGUCAAGGCCGAAGGUUGAUUCGGACGAGGUCAAAUUCUUCUUUUUGGCGAUGGCCCUUGGCCGUAAGGGCAUUAUUUCGAGCUUGUCAAAAUGUUAACCCGUCGUGGUUCGAACGAGGUCGAAGGUUUAUUCGAACGAGGCCGAGUGGUGAUUCGGUCGAGGCCGAAGGUUGAUUCGUUCGAGGCCGAAGGUUAAUUCGGACGAGGCCGAAUUCUUCUUUUUGGCGAUGGCCCUUGGCCAUAGGGGUAUUAUUUCGAGCUUGUCAAAAUGUUAACCCGUCGUGGUUCGAACGAGGUCGAAGGUUGAUUCGGACGAGGCCAAAUGGUGAUUUGGACGAGGCCGAGUGUUGAUUCGGUCGAGGCCGAAGGCUGAUUCGGUAGAGGCCGAAGGUUGAUUCGGAUGAGGCUGGAUUCUUCUUUUUGGCGAUGGCCCUUGGCUUUAAAGGGUGUUAUUCGACUUAUCGAAAUGUUAACCUGUCGUCGUUCGAUCGAGGUCGAACUCUUCCGUUUGGCGAAGGCUCUUAGCCUUAAAGGGUGUUAUUUCGAAUUAUCGAAAUGUUAACCCGUCGUUAUUUGAUAGAGGUCGAACUCUUCUAUUUGGCGAAGGCCCUUGGCCUUAAAGGGUGUUAUUUUGAACUUAUCGAAAUGUUAACCCAUCGUCGUUCGAACAAGGUCUAACUCUUCUUCUUUGGCGAAGGCUCAUGGCCUUAAAGGGUGUUAUUUCGAACUUAUCGAAAUGUUAACCUGUCAUCGUUCGAUCGAGGUCGAACUCUUCCUUUUGGAGAAGUACCUUGGAUUUAAAGGGUGUUAUUUCGACUUAUCGAAAUGUUAACCCGUCGUCAUUCGAUCAAGGUCGAACUCUUCCGUUUGGCGAAGGCCCUUGGCCUUAAAGGGUGUUAUUUCGAAUUUUUGGAGAAGGCUCUUGGCCAUAAAGGGUGUUAUUUCGAACUUAUCAAAAUGUUAACCCGUCAUCAUUCGAUCAAUGUCGAAAUCUUCCUUUUGGCGAAGGCCAUUGGCCUUAAAGGGUGUUCCCUGGGGGAGUCCCAAUUUGCUUAAUUUUAAUGCGUUGGAGAAUAUGAUGCAUUUCCUGGGGGAGUCCCAGUUUGCUUAAUUUUUGCUUGCGCUGGAGAAUAUGAUGCAUUUCCUGGGGGAGUCCCAGUUUGCUUAAUUUUGUUUUCAUUGGAGAAUACGAUGUGUUUCCCGAGUGAUUGCUCCUGCUUCUAUUCCACUUAGAGAAAUAGUCAGUUAAAACAAAAUAAAAACGUUCGUUACCUCGAUUUGAUUGGUCGAUGAGUGGAGGGGAGUGAUCACAUUUCCUUCUCCGGUUACGCUUUUAGUGGCCGCUACCAGUUUUGUCGAGAAAGCUAAGACGACGCAAAGCCGAUUAGAUUGUAGGGUACUCUGCAUUUCCACUGGAAAAUGUCAUUCUGACAAUUUAAAAAUUGACAACGAUGAUGACGAUCUACCGAACUUCGAUAAAAGUGCUUCCCUUAAGAUUGAAGCUAAAUCUGUCCUCUCUGUAGUUUUCUGUAUUUUACUUAUCAUUUUUCUGAAGCCCUUUUUUCAAAAAUUGAUGAGUGGGGGAGUGGUACUCACAAAAUUAAAAACAGACUCAGAUUUGAAAAGACUUGUUGGUGCACCAAAACUAAAGUGAAUAUACUUAAAGAAAACUGGCAAAGACCUUUGGCGACCUGGAUUAGCAGGUUUACCUGCGUUUGAUUAACGAGGAUGAAAGUCAUAUGACAUGUGCAUGACAUGUUGCAUUCUGGGUCCCAGGACGUAGGUGUUCUAUUUAUGAAUUGUUAGAGGAAACAACAAUGGAGGUAUUCGACGUGGCUACCGUUAGACCGUCGAUGGAAGAAGUCGUACGACAGUUAGAGGAGACCGAGAAACCGGUCUGCUUUGUACAACCCCGCUGAAACUAAGAGUGGAAGUGGUACUCCCUUUUAAAGCUCAUGUUGUUGUUUCAUAUUAUGCCUCUCUUUUUCUUAAAGGAGAGAGGGCUAAAUGGUUAUAGCUUUCUUACUCUUUCAACUAUUUACCUUUGGCUUUGCAUUGUUAGGUAAAAUCUUUCCAUAGAUAAAUUGACAAUAGACAAUAUGUAACGUUAGAUAGCAAAUUGGAUAUUAUAGUGUGCCUUUUUUUUAAAUGGCUCCUGCAACUAGCACAUCUUCUGCAAGACAUGAUUCAGAAGCAACUUUGAAUGUGCUCCAAAUUUUAGGUUGUGUGGGAUCAAAAAAAAAUUUAUUUUCUCCAUCAUUUCUAUGACAUGAUGAUAGUCCCUUAAACAUAAAGCUGACCGGUUUAAGUUUCUAAGGAAACUGCCACAAAAGUUAAUCGAAGCCCAACACAACUGGAUUCAUAGACAGUAAAGGGCCACUGGGGGACUGCGUAAAAAUAGCACGGGCUAGCUAGUUUUUGGACUGGUUAGUCAUUGGAUUGAAUUGAAUUUGAAUCUAGAGGAAACUAAAAUUUUAACUAGAAAAUCACCACAGACGGCGCCAAAUUGUUUGACUCAAAAGAUAUUAAAAUCUUUUUGAACAAAUCAAUCAAGGAUGAAAGGUCAAAUCCUAGUUAAAGAUAAUUAACUCUAGAUCCGAGAUGAAUGAUAUGAAUAGAAAAAACAUAGCCGAGUAUAAAUAUUGGCCGUGAUUAUGGCCAGAUUUAAUGGCAUAAAGAAAGAUGCAUUAAGUAACAUUAAAUGGCAAUAAAAUGUAAAUAAAGGAAAAGAUUCACCAAAUCUUGAGUUGAGUGGAUGUUCUUUCAUUUGAUAAAGACAAAUGAUAACAUAUACAAGAACCUUAAGACCCUUUUUAGAUCUGAUGAAGGUCUGGGAUCACAGAUCCUCUAAUCUCUUUAAAGAGGUAUGUUUACAUAUUUUUUAGAGAGAGGGAGAUGGAGCCCGAGCACCCCUUUUGGAAGUCCUCUCUUCCUAUUUAUAAGGGGUAUCCUUAGAAAAUCUUUAAAAAGUACAAUUAGAGGGAAUAUUCAGUAGAAUAUUUCCUUUGAGGAUUCCAAAGCAAACUAGCUAUUUCAUCACUGUCCGACCUCGACCUUAUUGGUGACUGUCCGAUCUCGGCUAUUGGUGACUGUCCGACCUUGGCUAUUGAUGACGUCCGACCUCGGCCUGUCCGACCACGACCUUAUAUCUCAGCGUGAAGAAUUUCUCUGAUCUAAUUUUGACCUAUACAACACGCAACAUAAAAUCCCUCAAGAUAGCACCAAUUAGAGAAGAGAUCGUAUAAUUUCCCAUGUCAGUACUCUUAUCAAUUUGAAGCAUUUUGCAAGUUCAAGUUAUAUACAUGCAUAAAAUCUCUCCUCUCUUCUAGUAAUUCAGAAACUUGAUGUAAGCACAUGAACUGUGCAGCUAUUUCCAAAGCAAUUUUCGCUAAUCGCAUUGACUUAAGGUUACCAGGAGUUCGAACAAGAAAGAACACCAAACAAAGUGGCAAACCAUUAAAAGUUAGAAAUGCAAAUAAUGAAGUCGUAAACAUAUCAAUCAAAUAGGAGACUCAACACAACCUCCGCGUAGGAGCAACUAUGAAUAUUCAAUCCAGUAACUUUGAAAU